This 77-nucleotide transfer RNA is filed under the name Bombus pyrosoma. RNAcentral describes it as "tRNA-Glu". The record is from RNAcentral. Lineage: Eukaryota; Metazoa; Arthropoda; Insecta; Hymenoptera; Apidae.
AUUUAUAUAGUUUUAAAUAAAAUAUUAUACUUUCAAUAUAAAGAUAUUAACAACUUAAGCCCAAUUAAUUAUAAAUA